UACGAAGGGUGCAAACGUUGCUCGGAAUCACUGGGCGUAAAGCGCACGUAGGCGGAUUGUUAAGUCAGGGGUGAAAUCCUGGAGCUCAACUCCAGAACUGCCUUUGAUACUGGCGAUCUUGAGUCCGGGAGAGGUGAGUGGAACUGCGAGUGUAGAGGUGAAAUUCGUAGAUAUUCGCAAGAACACCAGUGGCGAAGGCGGCUCACUGGCCCGGUACUGACGCUGAGGUGCGAAAGCGUGGGGAGCAAACAGG
This 253-nucleotide ribosomal RNA is filed under the name uncultured bacterium. RNAcentral describes it as "partial 16S ribosomal RNA". It matches the Rfam family "Bacterial small subunit ribosomal RNA", at positions 524 to 776 of the family's 1533-position model. The record is from RNAcentral.